This 102-nucleotide ribosomal RNA is filed under the name Peptococcaceae bacterium. The record is from RNAcentral. Lineage: Bacteria; Bacillati; Bacillota; Clostridia; Eubacteriales; Peptococcaceae.
GGUGAUUAUACCGGAGGGGUACCACCCGUUCCCAUCUCGAACACGGAAGUUAAGACCUCCAGGGCUGACGAUACCACUAGGGAAAAUAAGUCGUUGCCAGGU